RNAcentral lists this ribosomal RNA (620 nucleotides) under uncultured Acidobacteriota bacterium. Its description in RNAcentral is "bacterial SSU rRNA". It matches the Rfam family "Bacterial small subunit ribosomal RNA", at positions 95 to 694 of the family's 1533-position model. Lineage: Bacteria; Pseudomonadati; Acidobacteriota. The record is from RNAcentral.
GUGGCAAACGGGUGAGUAACACGUGGGUGACCUGCCUCAGAGUGGGGGAUAACGACCCGAAAGGGUCGCUAAUACCGCAUAACAUCCUGCUUUUGGAGAAGCGGAGAUCAAAGCCGGGGAUCGCAAGACCUGGCGCUCAGAGAGGGGCCCGCGGCCGAUUAGCUAGUUGGUGAGGUAACGGCUCACCAAGGCAACGAUCGGUAUCCGGCCUGAGAGGGCGGACGGACACACUGGGACUGAGACACGGCCCAGACUCCUACGGGAGGCAGCAGUGGGGAAUUGUUCGCAAUGGGCGCAAGCCUGACGACGCAACGCCGCGUGGAGGAUGAAGAUCUUCGGGUCGUAAACUCCUUUCGAUCGGGAAGAACGCUUUUCGCGUGAACAACGCGGAGAAGUGACGGUACCGAGAGAAGAAGCCCCGGCUAACUCCGUGCCAGCAGCCGCGGUAAUACGGGGGGGGCAAGCGUUGUUCGGAAUUACUGGGCGUAAAGGGCCAGUAGGCGGCCAACUAAGUCCGACGUGAAAUCCCCAGGCUUAACCUGGGAACUGCGUCGGAUACUGGCUGGCUUGAAUUCGGGAGAGGGAUGCAGAAUUCCAGGUGUAGCGGUGAAAUGCGUAGA